AGAGCGAACGCUGGCGGCAGGCUUAACACAUGCAAGUCGAGCGGGCGUAGCAAUACGUCAGCGGCAGACGGGUGAGUAACGCGUGGGAACAUACCUUUUGGUUCGGAACAACACAGGGAAACUUGUGCUAAUACCGGAUAAGCCCUUACGGGGAAAGAUUUAUCGCCGAAAGAUUGGCCCGCGUCUGAUUAGCUAGUUGGUGAGGUAACGGCUCACCAAGGCGACGAUCAGUAGCUGGUCUGAGAGGAUGAUCAGCCACAUUGGGACUGAGACACGGCCCAAACUCCUACGGGAGGCAGCAGUGGGGAAUAUUGGACAAUGGGCGCAAGCCUGAUCCAGCCAUGCCGCGUGAGUGAUGAAGGCCCUAGGGUUGUAAAGCUCUUUUGUGCGGGAAGAUAAUGACGGUACCGCAAGAAUAACGCCCGGCUAACUUCGCGCCAGCAGCCGC
This 448-nucleotide ribosomal RNA is filed under the name uncultured bacterium. Its description in RNAcentral is "SSU rRNA". It matches the Rfam family "Bacterial small subunit ribosomal RNA", at positions 26 to 518 of the family's 1533-position model. The record is from RNAcentral.